CGGGAGACCGCGGAUGGGCAGGGUCUGCGAAGGGGCGGCGGCCGGCAGGGACAAUGGGCACAGCUGCUGGCGAACGGCCCGGCCCUUCGCCGGCUGCAGCGGACACGUGUCGGUCGCUGCGUUUGGAGGGACGGACUUAAUGGUGGCCUCGCAGCGGGCGGAGCGGGACAGGUUUGCAAAGCAAAGCCCUCCCCGCAGGAUCUGGGGCUCACUCUGGCCCGGGAGCCCAGGACCGGAGGCCCAGGAAAGGGCGCAGGGGCACAGGACGCCCGGGACCCGCCCCUCCGGGUAGGGUCUGGGGGCGGAAAUCCUUCCUGGGACCCCCCAGCGGCGAGUGGGGACCGGACGCGGGUCCCGACCUGUGCCGGCGCUCACCUGGUGGCCCGCUCGGAGGCGGCGGCAGGCAAAGAUCCCCUUCCCCCCGCUGCUCCGGGAGGCGGGCGGGGGCUCCCCGGAUCGGCCCCCCAGGGAGCCCCGGGGCGGGCGGUCCUCCCCCGGGGGUGCUGGCGGCCGCGGCGGCUCUGGAUGCGGCCCGCCCUCCUCGGGCGGCUGUGCCGGCGGGCGGGACCCGGGAGCGCGGCGGGCGCCGGGCCGGGCCCAGCUGCCACGAGGCGGGCGGGGACCAGAGCCAGCCCCGCGCUCCCGGGUCUGGGGGCCCGCCCCUCGGGGAGCCUGCGCGGUCCCCACGUGGGGACCUGCGGCCCCGGCGCCCCGCGAUCUGACACCUGGGUCCCCGGCGCCCAGCCCGCCGCCUCCUCUGGGGACGCCCCCGGUUCCCCCAGGACCCCCAGACCCGGGUUUCUUUCUCACCCCGGCCUCCCGCCUCCAGCCGCCUCCGCCAUUCGCAACACCUCCCCACCAUCUGUCCCCUGCUCUUACGUGGCUUAGCUGAGACUGUGACGCUGGGCCUGGUUUGAAACACUGGAUCAGAGUUCCUCCCGCGGGGAUCCUCUCUAACUUACAUCGUGUCCCCAGAGCCUCGGAAACCCGGCCUGCUCCCACGCUGAGCCUCGCUACCCCGCUUACUUCUCUGCGGCCGCGACAACCUGUGCCCCCUGCUUUGGAAACCCGCCUCCCCCGCCUGUAUGACACACAACUGGAUUAACCCGAGGUUCAGGGCCAGCGAGGCCGAGGCCACCAGCUAUUUGUCCCCUGCCCUCUGCCCUUGGGCCCGCACCGUUCCUGCAUUGCCCUAGAUUGUCCAAAGGUCCUCAAGUGACUGCUCUCAGACAUCCCAGGGCCGGUCCCCUGAAUGCCAGGCCGCCCACCACGAGUAAAGCCUCGCUGGCACUCGCUCAUGGUGUGCACUGUGCGCGAUGCUUUAUAGGCACGACCCCAGGGACGCUCUCCUGGGAAACUGAGGCCCAGAGAAAUGUAGGCUCUGCACCCGGUGCAAGUCGCUUGCUUGGGGGGAGGGGGGGUGGUCACACGACAGGAAAGUGUUCGGGCGUGGGUUCCCCGGUCCCCUCCGCUAGGAGCUUCUGCAAGGGACCCCAGCGCCAUUGCCAGGACCGCGUGGGAUCCCGCGUGCAGCGCCGAGGGAUCCUUACCUCUCCGUCACCUGGACCCACCGCCUUUCCGAGCAUUUCUGUCGCAGAAGGCGAUAGGAGGCAUAUACCGUACACAGAGUUCUGCAAUAGUCCCAGCAGAGUGACGGCCGUGCUCCGUGAUCUCGCGAUGUUUCUGCUUCAAAGCGCGUCUGGAGAGGAGCACACGCGUAGCGGAGGAAUAGAAGUUAUAAAUCCCCCCGAUGUCGCUUCAGUCGGGUCUUACUGGGUGGAGAGCUGGGGGCCUAAUUGGUGAAGAAAGUUUGCUUGCGGACUGGAGAUAAUAGCAAUGACUUUUUCUUUCUUUUAUUGAUACCAUCAAUAAGCGCCUGCUGUGCACCAGAUGCAGACCGCAUGGAUGAUGUGGGUUUACAGGCACCAUGCGAUUUAUGUCAAUAAAGGAUACCAGCUUAUUUUAGAUGAGUUAGAAAAAUCACAGGGGACUCCAGUAAAAUAAUUGGAUCAUCAAAGGAUGCUAAAACCAUUGGUAAAGGUUGUUGCGGAACAUUCUAGAAUCAUCCCCCCCCCCAGAUGACUUAUUCAUUACAAAGGGGAAAAAAUGUACCUACCUAGUGAGGGGGAGUGGGUUCUGGCAGACACCCUCUUAACCGAGUGAUCAAUAUCCCCAAAGUGGGACAGCGUGACAUCAAGUCAAGUGCCUCUUGAUGUGAAACUAUAGGAAGUACACAAAAGUGCCUAUGCGGAACUCUUGUAAAAAAAAAAAAAAAAAGCUAAACCUGUGUUUAGUAAUGAAGGAUAUACCCAAGAUAACUGGCCAGGGCUUUUUUCAAAAAAAGAGACGUAACACCCAAAUGCGGUGUGCACGGUGACCGGGUCCCGGCUGGGCCGUUCGCUCUGGGUGCUCUCUUGCUCUGCUGGUUUCUUCUCCUGUCUGGUGCUGCUCUCCUGCUCCUAGCCAUUCUCCAAGGAGAGGCGAGGCCACUGCCUGGAGGUGAUGGCGGUGUGCUUUCUGCUGGAAGCCUGGGCCUGUUUUCCUCUGCCCUUGAGUUGGAGCAUGAAUGGCAGCUUUGUGGCCGGGUGUGGGGCUAGCCGCCAGGCUGGCCUCACAUGUGGGUUGGUGAGGCCAGGAGCCCACUUCCUGCCACCCCUCCCUUCUACCACAAGUGCCAGAAGAGGACUGGCUUUUUUAAGAAGCCAGCCCCUCCCUCGUUCCCACCUCAGCUGUCAGAGAGUUGGGUCUUCUUAGGGAUCCACCCUGCAGUCCUUGUUUUCCUCGACGUGAGUGGGGGGUGGCCUGUGCCCUGGAGAAAGGGGACGUGGGAUGGUGCACAAAAUGCAGGCAGGCUGUCAUCGGGGCCGUCUUGGCUAUCUUUUCUCACUCCUGCCUCCUCCCCACAACCCAGGUGAUGCUGGGUUCCCUCUUGCGGGCAGCCCUCUCCUGAAUGACCUCUGAUUCCUGUCCCCACGCCUCUACCUGAUUUGUCUGCCAGAACUGUGUGGGCAUCUCCCCAGUGGAGAUGGUCUCUGUGGGUCAUUGACUAAUGGUCCCCUAAAGAUGUCCACGCCUGGAUCCUUGGAACCUGCGAAUGUUCCCUUACAUGGCAAAAGGGAUAUUGCAGAUGGAGGAGGUGAAGGAUCUUGAAACGGGGAGGUUAACCUGGUUUCUCUGGGCGGGUCCUGAAUGGAAUCCCAGUGGUCCUCCUAAGAGGGGGACAGGAGGAGGCGGGGAUGGCAGUGGACAACAGAAGCAGAGAUUGCAGUGACGAGAUGUGAAGAGCGAGGAAGAGGCCACCAGCCCAGGAAGAAAGGUGGAAGAAACCAGGAAGAAAGGUGGCCGCUAGACACUGAAAAAGGCAAGGACACGGAUUCCCCACUCAGCAUCUCCAGAAGGGACCAACCGGGCCAACACCUUGACUUCAGCCCAGUGAAACUGACUUGGAACUUUUAACUCCCAGAACGCUAAAAGAAUACAUUGUGUUGUUUUAAGGCACUAAGCUGAUGGCAAUUUGUUCCAGCAGCCACAGGAAAGAACACAGUCUCCUUCUCAAUCUUUUUGCCGUUGUCAGUUGACUUGCUUUUUUAUUCCACUGCUUUAUACAAAUGAGAGAGUGUAAGGACACUCUGAGAUGGCGGGCUCCGGGUCAGACCUUAUCUCUUGGUGACACCCCUAAUUCCUGAGCUCCCCAAGGCAAGUCUCUGUGUUGUCAGUUUCCUUAUGGUGUGAGGAUCAAGUCGGACGAUGCCGAAGUCACGGGUUGGCAGCCUCCAGUUUAGAGUAGACCCACAGCUUCCCUUGGAAACAGAAAGGCCCGGCAGCUUGAUUUGCACUCUCACGUGGAGCGAGUGGCUGGAAGAGGGGCCCCCUGUGGGAUCCACCGUCUCCCGCUGUCAUCGUCCCCACCCUGAGCUGUGGCGUGCCUGGGCUCUCACCCAUCACCAUACCUGCCUGGCCCUGUGGGCAUUGAUGGUGGCAGCUCCCGAGAUAAUCUUUUCAAAGCUCUUAGCCCAGAGCCCGGCCCUGCAGACCACGAUGCUGUGAGCAGAGGAAGGGGAUCUCAAAAACAGAGGCAGCUGGUCUCGUGUCAGUGAUGGCGCUUCAGGGACCAGUGAAUAAACUAGAGCGACAACUGCACGGCGAGGAUGUGCACAUUUGUCUUUGUUUUUGUCUUUUUUGAGGAAGAUUAGCCCUGACCUAACAUCUGCCAUCAAUCCUCCUCUUUUUGCUGAGGAAGACUGGCCCUGAGCUAACAUCCGUGCCCAUCUUCCUCUACUUUAUAUGUGGGAUGCCUGCCACAGCAUGGCUUGACAAACAGUGCCAUGUCUGCACCUGGGAUCUGAAUCGGUGAACACUGGGCCAGCCUGAGGAUGAGCACAUUCGGAGGGCAGAGAGUUAACAUGCAAAUGCAUUUCAGGUAGAGGAGUCUUCUGAAUGACGAAGGCAAGUUGCAAGGGGUGGGAUUUACGACAUGCUACCCCGAAAUAUGGCAUAUUGGAUAUUUUAAGCUGAAAGAGUUUGAGAAAAUGGCAGAAGCUGGAAUUAGAGACUGGGUCUUUAAUUAAAUUAAGACUGGGUCCUAAGAGUAAAUUUAAGAGCAAAGGAACACUUCUUCCUCCCCUACUCAAGAAACCCAUUUGGGGAACACAGAGAACACCAGCGCAGAUGGAGGCGUGGUGUCGGUGUAGGCUCAUGCGCUCGUGCACAGAUACAGACACACGCACUCGGAUCUGUAGGUGCACACGCAGAGGAAGCAUCGAGAAAAUAUUCUCAGCGCACGCCCCGCCCGGAGAGAGCCCCGCCUGCAGGCCCGGGCUGGGUUCUCCGCUCUGCCGGGGGCGCCGUGCGCACUAACGUCGGUGCUGUGGGUAGUUGGCACUGGAGUUGGCGAUUGGGACCAAGUAUCGUGUGCCCACUCUCUCCCUCCCUCAGCCCCGUGUAAAUGUCCCAACGUCCUCUCCCCGGAUCCUCCAUGGCUGCCAGGACAAACUCGAUGCUUUAAAACAACACAUGUUUCUUCUAUGCGGUUCUGGAGGUCAGAAGUCCAAAUUCAGCUUCACCGGGCGAGGAGGCAGGGCGUCGGCAGGGCCGCCUUCCUUCUGAGGCUCCGGGGAGAAUCCGCUCCGGCCUCUGGGGCGGCCGGCUCUCCUUGGCUUGUGGCUGCAUCGCUCCAGUCUCUGCCGCCCUCGUCGUAUUGCCCGCUCCUGUUCUGCAGCUGAGGCUCCCUCUGCGUCCCUUGUAAGGACUUGUGAUCACGUGUAGGGCCACCUGGAUAAUCUGGGCUGGCGUCCCCAUCUCAAGACCCUGUGAAGGCCCUUUUGCCGUAUAAGGUAACAUCCCCAAGUUCCAGGCAUUAGGACCUAGAUAAUUUUGGGGGCCAUUAUUCAGCCUAUCACAAACCAUAGAUCUUUUAUAAUACGAGUAGUCAUGAUCCUAAUAGUUGUCAGACAGUAAUGUUCCAUCAUUAUUAGCUCUCAAAUCUCAUGUGCCCGGUGCUGGGCUUAGAGAUCCAGGCCCGCUGUCUCAUCGAAGCUUCCUGCAAGCUCCCAUCACCAUCCCAAAGAUACAGGCGAAGACAACACAGGAGAGGGAGGAGCUGGAUUGGGCCGGGAGCCCGUGGCCACCAUCCUGGGCUGACCCCCUUAGGAGUGCAAGAAUCCCAGUUCCCCUCGGAUGCCCCCUUCCCUGGGGGGGUUUCCUGAGUCUUUGCGUAUGUUGGAUCUUACAAAUCCACUCAUUGAGGUGUUGGCCCCUUCACGAACUCCUCCUGCCAUCAUUUUGUGAUGCUGGCCCGCCUCCGCAGGAGCUGCCCAGCUGAAGCAGAGAACUGAGGACCGCGGGGUCCUCUCCGUGCCAGCGCACUGCGGGGACUCUGCAAACCAUGGUCACGCCCACACAGAUAAUACCUCCAGGCGAGCGCUGGGCAUGGUUUUCUCUGAGGCAGUUUGUGCCGGAUCUCGAGGCUGCAACCUGGAUGUCCUUUGAAGACCCGGACUUAGGAAGAAAGGGAGCCGGUGGCUUUUGUCAAGCUGGCCACCUGGGGGACCGGGAGUCUGUGGGUUGCCAGAGGGCUAAUGGCUUAUGAGAAGACAAUCUGAAAAGCAGUGUAUGAAUCUCAGAUCUCUUGCAAAGAAAUCUAGCCUUUCCUGGGGCAAAGACAGAGGAGAGCAGUGUUUACAGCUGAUGGUGUGUGUGCCUGGGGUGGGUUGCCCUACGACUUACAGGAGACAAAAUGUGUUUAUUACCAACUGUAAUAUGUUUUCGGGAAAAAACUAAAAACACGUGCCAGGCACACCAAACUAUAAGAUCUUGGUUAUUAUUGAUCAAAAUGAGGCUAAUUAAAAAAAGAAAAAGAGCAUGUUGAUUAAAAGAUGAUGUGGGGGUUUGGGAAAAGCCGACAUUUCGCUGUUCUAACAGAGAUGCAAGUUGGAAGUUUAUUUUGCUCUCCCCAUUGGUCUCCAGGUUGACGAAAUGACUCUGCUCCACAGAGUCAGUCAGGGACCCUGGUUCCUUCUAGGUGUUGGUCUUGUCUGUGUGGUCAGAGGGCUUGUUGUUGCUACCACAGCCCACUGCCUGUGCCUGGCUGCAAGGGAGUAUGGGAAAUAGAGACUUUCUUUCCGGGCGGGGUAAUAGAAUCU
RNAcentral lists this long non-coding RNA (6641 nucleotides) under Equus asinus (donkey). Its description in RNAcentral is "lncRNA (ENSEASG00005031267.1)". Lineage: Eukaryota; Metazoa; Chordata; Mammalia; Perissodactyla; Equidae. The record is from RNAcentral.